AUGGCUGCACCCUACUCUCCAUCUCCAUCUCCAUCACAUCCCACUGCUGCUGCCCUUGUCCUGCUACUGCUGCUGCUUCAUGUCGCGCUUCUUGGCAAGUGUGCGGCGGCGGCUAACGUGACGUUCGGGCCGGGGGAGGAACUCCGGAGGUACAGGCGGGUCCAGGCGCUCCUCACAAGGCUCAACAAGCCGUCUCUCCGGACCAUUCAGAGCCCCGACGGCGACCUCAUCGACUGCGUGCCGGCGCACCUGCAGCCGGCGUUCGACCACCCCAGGCUGCGCGGCCAGAGACCACUGGGCCCGCCGGUGCGACCGAGUGGACACCACCGCCGCCCCAAUCACACGGCGGACGCCGGAGUGCAGCUUUGGGCGAUGUCCGGCGCGUCGUGCCCGGAGGGGUCCGUCCCGGUGAGGAGGAUUACGGAGGCCGACGUCCUCCGCGCCAGCUCCGUGAGGAGGUUCGGAAGGGUGCCCACGGCCAGAGUACGGCGUGACACGGUCGCCGGCGGCCACGAGCACGCGGUGGGGUACGUUGCCGGCGACGAGUACUACGGCGCGCGUGCGAGCAUCAACGUGUGGGCGCCCAAGGUGAGCACGCCGACGGAGUUCAGCCUGUCGCAGAUCUGGGUUAUCGGCGGCACCUUCAGCAACGAUCUCAACACCAUCGAGGCCGGAUGGCAGGUGAGCCCGCAGCUGUAUGGGGACAACUCGCCCAGGUUUUUCACUUACUGGACGACGGACGCGUACCAGACGACGGGGUGCUACAACCUGCUGUGCUCAGGGUUCGUGCAGACCAACAGCCGGAUCGCCAUGGGGGCGGCCAUCUCGCCCACCUCCGGCUACAAAGGCGGCCAGUUCGACAUCAGCCUCCUGAUCUGGAAAGACCCCAACCACGGCAACUGGUGGCUGGAGUUCGGGUCGGGGGAGCUGGUGGGUUACUGGCCUAGCUUUCUGUUCAGCCACCUGGCGUCGCACGCGAGCAUGGUGCAGUUCGGCGGCGAGGUGGUGGACACGCGCGCCGAGGGGUCGCACACGGCCACGCAGAUGGGGAGCGGGCACUUCCCCGGGGAGGGCUUCGGCCGCUCCUCCUACUUCCGCAACCUGGAGGUGGUGGACUGGGACAACAGCCUCAUCCCGCUCACCACCUUCCACGUCACCGCCGACCACCCCAACUGCUACGACAUCCAGGGCGGCGUCAACGCCGUAUGGGGGAACUACUUCUACUACGGAGGGCCAGGGAGGAACGUCAGGUGCACCUAG
This 1260-nucleotide ribosomal RNA is filed under the name Triticum aestivum (bread wheat). RNAcentral's name for it is "partial small subunit ribosomal RNA". The record is from RNAcentral. Lineage: Eukaryota; Viridiplantae; Streptophyta; Magnoliopsida; Poales; Poaceae.